AACGAACGCUGGCGGCAGGCCUAACACAUGCAAGUCGAACGCCGUAGCAAUACGGAGUGGCAGACGGGUGAGUAACACGUGGGAACGUACCUUUCGGUUCGGAAUAACUCAGGGAAACUUGAGCUAAUACCGGAUACGUGCGAGAGCAGAAAGAUUUAUCGCCGAAAGAUCGGCCCGCGUCCGAUUAGCUAGUUGGUGAGGUAAUGGCUCACCAAGGCGACGAUCGGUAGCUGGUCUGAGAGGAUGAUCAGCCACACUGGAACUGAGACACGGUCCAGACUCCUACGGGAGGCAGCAGUAGGGAAUAUUGGACAAUGGGGGCAACCCUGAUCCAGCCAUGCCGCGUGAGUGAAGAAGGCCCUCGGGUUGUAAAGCUCUUUUGUCCGGAAAGAAAGCAUUCGGUUAAUACCCGGGUGUUCUGACGGUACCGGAAGAAUAAGCACCGGCUAACUUCGUGCCAGCAGCCGCGGUAAGGAGCUGUCGU
Molecule: ribosomal RNA, 484 nt
Filed under: uncultured bacterium
Lineage: Bacteria
Description: bacterial SSU rRNA
Rfam family: Bacterial small subunit ribosomal RNA
Source: RNAcentral